RNAcentral lists this ribosomal RNA (482 nucleotides) under uncultured bacterium. RNAcentral describes it as "partial 16S ribosomal RNA". It matches the Rfam family "Bacterial small subunit ribosomal RNA", at positions 28 to 507 of the family's 1533-position model. The record is from RNAcentral.
GACGAACGCUGGCGGCGUGCUUAACACAUGCAAGUCGAACGAUGAAGAAGAGACACGCUAACUUCGGUUCAAUUUUCACUUCGGAUUAGUGCCAGACGGGUGAGUAACGCGUGAGCAACCUACCUCUUACAAAGGGAUAUCCUCGGGAAACCGUGAUUAAUACCAUAUGACACAUUCAUAAGGCAUCUUAAGUAUGUUAAAGCUACGCCGGUAAGAGAUGGGCUCGCGUCCCAUUAGCUAGUUGGUGAGGUAACGGCCCACCAAGGCGACGAUGGGUAACCGGGCUGAGAGGGGGAACGGCAACAAUGGAAAUGAGACACGGUCCAAAAUACUACGGGAGGCAGCAGUGGGGAAUAUUGCACAAUGGAGGAAAGUCUGAUGAAGCAACGCCGCGUGAGAGAUGAAGGAAGUCGUAACGUAAAGCUAUGAUGGAAGGGAAGAAAAUGACGGUACCAGAAGAAAAAGCCCCGGCUAAAUACGUG